RNAcentral lists this ribosomal RNA (460 nucleotides) under uncultured bacterium. RNAcentral's name for it is "partial 16S ribosomal RNA". It matches the Rfam family "Bacterial small subunit ribosomal RNA", at positions 338 to 795 of the family's 1533-position model. The record is from RNAcentral.
CCUACGGGUGGCAGCAGUGAGGAAUAUUGGUCAAUGGGCGCGAGCCUGAACCAGCCAAGUCGCGUGAGGGAGGACGGCCCUACGGGUUGUAAACCUCUUUUGCCGGGGAGCAACGGGCGCCACGUGUGGCGUCACUGAGAGUACCCGGAGAAAAAGCAUCGGCUAACUCCGUCCCAGCAGCCGCGGUAAUACGGGGGUCGCGAGCGUUAUCCGGAUUUAUUGGGUUUAAGGGGUGCGUAGGCGGAUGGUUAAGUCAGUGGUCAAAUUGAGGGGCUCAACCCCUUCCCGCCAUUGAAACUGGCGUUCUUGAGUGGAGGAGAGGUAUGCGGAAUGCGUGGUGUAGCGGUGAAAUGCAUAGAUAUCACGCAGAACCCCGAUUGCGAAGGCAGCAUGCCGGCUUCCGACUGACGCUGAAGCACGAAAGCGUGGGGAUCGAACAGGAUUAGAUACCCGUGUAGUC